RNAcentral lists this ribosomal RNA (250 nucleotides) under uncultured bacterium. RNAcentral's name for it is "partial 16S ribosomal RNA". It matches the Rfam family "Bacterial small subunit ribosomal RNA", at positions 524 to 773 of the family's 1533-position model. The record is from RNAcentral.
GACGAACCGUGCAAACGUUAUUCGGAAUCACUGGGCAUAAAGGGCGCGUAGGCGGCUCUCUAAGUCAGGGGUGAAAUCCGGCAGCUCAACUGUCGCAGUGCCUUUGAUACUGGAGAGCUCGAGGGAUGUAGGGGUCUGUGGAACUUCCGGUGGAGCGGUGAAAUGCGUUGAUAUCGGAAGGAACGCCGGUGGCGAAAGCGACGGACUGGACAUCUUCUGACGCUGAGGCGCGAAAGCCAGGGGAGCAAAC